RNAcentral lists this ribosomal RNA (465 nucleotides) under uncultured Klebsiella sp. RNAcentral's name for it is "bacterial SSU rRNA". It matches the Rfam family "Bacterial small subunit ribosomal RNA", at positions 338 to 795 of the family's 1533-position model. The record is from RNAcentral. Lineage: Bacteria; Pseudomonadati; Pseudomonadota; Gammaproteobacteria; Enterobacterales; Enterobacteriaceae.
CCUACGGGUGGCUGCAGUGGGGAAUAUUGCACAAUGGGCGCAAGCCUGAUGCAGCCACGCCGCGUGUGUGAUGAAGGCCUUCGGGUUGUAAAGCACUUUCAGCGGGGAGGAAGGCGGUGAGGUUAAUAACCUCAUCGAUUGACGUUACCCGCAGAAGAAGCACCGGCUAACUCCGUGCCAGCAGCCGCGGUAAUACGGAGGGUGCAAGCGUUAAUCGGAAUUACUGGGCGUAAAGCGCACGCAGGCGGUCUGUCAAGUCGGAUGUGAAAUCCCCGGGCUCAACCUGGGAACUGCAUUCGAAACUGGCAGGCUAGAGUCUUGUAGAGGGGGGUAGAAUUCCAGGUGUAGCGGUGAAAUGCGUAGAGAUCUGGAGGAAUACCGGUGGCGAAGGCGGCCCCCUGGACAAAGACUGACGCUCAGGUGCGAAAGCGUGGGGAGCAAACAGGAGUAGAUACCCCUGUAGUC